GUAGGUGUAGCUCAGAUGGUAGAGCGCAUGCUUAGCAUGUAGGAGGCCCUGGGUUCAAUCCCCAGUACCUACU
RNAcentral lists this transfer RNA (73 nucleotides) under Camelus bactrianus (Bactrian camel). It matches the Rfam family "tRNA". From Rfam's summary of the family: Transfer RNA (tRNA) molecules are approximately 80 nucleotides in length. Their secondary structure includes four short double-helical elements and three loops (D, anti-codon, and T loops). Lineage: Eukaryota; Metazoa; Chordata; Mammalia; Artiodactyla; Camelidae. RNAcentral also lists the same sequence under 1 other name. The record is from Rfam by way of RNAcentral.